ACCCCGGCGAGGGGAGUGAAAUAGAACCUGAAACCGUGUACGUACAAGCAGUGGGAGCCUACUUGUUAGGUGACUGCGUACCUUUUGUAUAAUGGGUCAGCGACUUAUAUUCUGUAGCAAGGUUAACCGAAUAGGGGAGCCGCAGGGAAACCGAGUCUUAACUGGGCGUUAAGUUGCAGGGUAUAGACCCGAAACCCGGUGAUCUAGCCAUGGGCAGGUUGAAGGUUGGGUAACACUAACUGGAGGACCGAACCGACUAAUGUUGAAAAAUUAGCGGAUGACUUGUGGCUGGGGGUGAAAGGCCAAUCAAACCGGGAGAUAGCUGGUUCUCCCCGAAAGCUAUUUAGGUAGCGCCUCGUGAACUCAUCUUCGGGGGUAGAGCACUGUUUCGGCUAGGGGGUCAUCCCGACUUACCAACCCGAUGCAAACUACGAAUACCGAAGAAUGUUAUCACGGGAGACACACGGCGGGUGCUAACGUUCGUCGUGAAGAGGGAAACAACCCAGACCGCCAGCUAAGGUCCCAAAGUCAUGGUUAAGUGGGAAACGAUGUGGGAAGGCACAGACAGCCAGGAUGUUGGCUUAGAAGCAGCCAUCAUUUAAAGAAAGCGUAAUAGCUCACUGGUCGAGUCGGCCUGCGCGGAAGAUGUAACGGGGCUAAACCAUGCACCGAAGCUGCGGCAGCGACGCUUAGGCGUUGUUGGGUAGGGGAGCGUUCUGUAAGCCGUUGAAGGUGGCCUGUGAGGGUUGCUGGAGGUAUCAGAAGUGCGAAUGCUGACAUAAGUAACGAUAAUGCGGGUGAAAAACCCGCACGCCGGAAGACCAAGGGUUCCUGUCCAACGUUAAUCGGGGCAGGGUGAGUCGACCCCUAAGGCGAGGCUGAAAAGCGUAGUCGAUGGGAAACAGGUUAAUAUUCCUGUACUCGGUGUUACUGCGAAGGGGGGACGGAGAAAGCUAGGUUAUCCGGGCGACGGUUGUCCCGGUUUAAGCGUGAAGGUGGAUGACUUAGGUAAAUCCGGGUCAUCGUUAACACUGAGGCGUGAUGACGAGUCACUACGGUGAUGAAGUAACCAAUGCUACGCUUCCAGGAAAAGCCUCUAAGCUCCAGGUAACAUCAAAUCGUACCCCAAACCGACACAGGUGGUCAGGUAGAGAAUACUCAGGCGCUUGAGAGAACUCGGGUGAAGGAACUAGGCAAAAUGGUGCCGUAACUUCGGGAGAAGGCACGCUGGCGCGUAGGUGAAGUCCCUUGCGGAUGGAGCUGAAGCCAGUCGCAGAUACCAGCUGGCUGCAACUGUUUAAUAAAAACACAGCACUGUGCAAACACGAAAGUGGACGUAUACGGUGUGACGCCUGCCCGGUGCCGGAAGGUUAAUUGAUGGGGUCAGCCGCAAGGCGAAGCUCUUGAUCGAAGCCCCGGUAAACGGCGGCCGUAACUAUAACGGUCCUAAGGUAGCGAAAUUCCUUGUCGGGUAAGUUCCGACCUGCACGAAUGGCGUAAUGAUGGCCAGGCUGUCUCCACCCGAGACUCAGUGAAAUUGAACUCGCUGUGAAGAUGCAGUGUACCCGCGGCAAGACGGAAAGACCCCGUGAACCUUUACUAUAGCUUGACACUGAACCUUGAGCCUUGAUGUGUAGGAUAGGUGGGAGGCUUUGAAGUGUGGACGCCAGUCUGCAUGGAGCCAACCUUGAAAUACCACCCUUUAAUGUUUGAUGUUCUAACGUAGGCCCGUAAUCCGGGUUGCGGACAGUGUCUGGUGGGUAGUUUGACUGGGGCGGUCUCCUCCCAAAGCGUAACGGAGGAGCACGAAGGUUAGCUAAUCCUGGUCGGACAUCAGGAGGUUAGUGCAAAGGCAUAAGCUAGCUUGACUGCGAGAGUGACAGCUCGAGCAGGUGCGAAAGCAGGUCUUAGUGAUCCGGUGGUUCUGAAUGGAAGGGCCAUCGCUCAACGGAUAAAAGGUACUCCGGGGAUAACAGGCUGAUACCGCCCAAGAGUUCAUAUCGACGGCGGUGUUUGGCACCUCGAUGUCGGCUCAUCACAUCCUGGGGCUGAAGUAGGUCCCAAGGGUAUGGCUGUUCGCCAUUUAAAGUGGUACGCGAGCUGGGUUUAGAACGUCGUGAGACAGUUCGGUCCCUAUCUGCCGUGGGCGUUGGAAGAUUGAGAGGGGUUGCUCCUAGUACGAGAGGACCGGAGUGAACGCACCACUGGUGUACGGGUUGUGAUGCCAAUUGCAUUGCCCGGUAGCUAAGUGCGGAAGAGAUAACCGCUGAAAGCAUCUAAGCGGGAAACUUGCCUCGAGAUGAGUCUUCCCUGGGCACUAGAUGCCCCUGAAGGGCCGUUGAAGACGACGACGUAGAUAGGCUGGGUGUGUAAGCGUAGCGAUACGUUGAGCUAACCAGUACUAAUGACCCGAGAGGCUUAACCUU
Molecule: ribosomal RNA, 2426 nt
Filed under: Pectobacterium wasabiae
Lineage: Bacteria; Pseudomonadati; Pseudomonadota; Gammaproteobacteria; Enterobacterales; Pectobacteriaceae
Description: bacterial LSU rRNA
Rfam family: Bacterial large subunit ribosomal RNA
Source: RNAcentral